Molecule: long non-coding RNA, 463 nt
Organism: Oncorhynchus tshawytscha (Chinook salmon)
Lineage: Eukaryota; Metazoa; Chordata; Actinopteri; Salmoniformes; Salmonidae
Source: Ensembl
GUCACAUCUCUGUGUGUCACAGGGUCUCCUGCGUAAUGGAGGGGCUUGGACUCAUGAUAUAGUUGUGACAGUAGUGAUGUAGGUUUGUGUGAUCAGUAACCCUGCCAAGGCCUGUAUGUAUCUACUGGAUUCUAGUCAUGUAUACAGUUGAAGUUGGAAGUUUACAUACACCUUGCUGCACCCUCGACAACUACUGUGAUUAUUAUUAUUAUUACAUUUGAACAAUUGAACAUCUUGGCCAUGUUCUGUUAUAAUCUCUACCCGGCACAGCCAGAAGAGGACUGGCCACCCCACAUAGCCUGGUUCCUCUCUAGGUUUAUAAUCUCCACCCGGCACAGCCAGAAGAGGACUGGCCACCCCACAUAGCCUGGUUCCUCUCUAGGUUUAUAAUCUCCACCCGGCACAGCCAGAAGAGGACUGGCCACCCCACAUAGCCUGGUUCCUCUCUAGGUUUAUAAUCUCC